UACGUAGGGUGCGAGCGUUAAUCGGAAUUACUGGGCGUAAAGCGUGCGCAGGCGGUUUGCUAAGACAGGUGUGAAAUCCCCGGGCUUAACCUGGGAACUGCGCUUGUGACUGGCAGGCUAGAGUACGGCAGAGGGGGGUGGAAUUCCUGGUGUAGCAGUGAAAUGCGUAGAUAUCAGGAGGAACACCGAUGGCGAAGGCAGCCCCCUGGGCCUGUACUGACGCUCAUGCACGAAAGCGUGGGGAGCAAACAGGAUUAGAUACCCCCGUA
Molecule: ribosomal RNA, 269 nt
Filed under: uncultured prokaryote
Description: partial 16S ribosomal RNA
Rfam family: Bacterial small subunit ribosomal RNA
Source: RNAcentral